This 63-nucleotide transfer RNA is filed under the name Bergeyella cardium. It matches the Rfam family "tRNA", at positions 7 to 64 of the family's 71-position model. From Rfam's summary of the family: Transfer RNA (tRNA) molecules are approximately 80 nucleotides in length. RNAcentral also lists the same sequence under 3 other names. The record is from RNAcentral. Lineage: Bacteria; Pseudomonadati; Bacteroidota; Flavobacteriia; Flavobacteriales; Weeksellaceae.
UUUUAGCUCAGUCGGUUAGAGCAUCUGACUGUUAAUCAGAGGGUCGCUGGUUCGAGCCCAGCA